This 253-nucleotide ribosomal RNA is filed under the name uncultured bacterium. RNAcentral describes it as "partial 16S ribosomal RNA". It matches the Rfam family "Bacterial small subunit ribosomal RNA", at positions 524 to 776 of the family's 1533-position model. The record is from RNAcentral.
UACAGAGGGUGCGAGCGUUAAUCGGAAUUACUGGGCGUAAAGCGCGCGUAGGCGGCUUUGCAAGUCGGGUGUGAAAUCCCCAGGCUUAACCUGGGAACUGCAUUCGAGACUGCAUUGCUAGAGUAUGGGAGAGGGAAGUGGAAUUUCCGGUGUAGCGGUGAAAUGCGUAGAUAUCAGGAGGAACACCGGUGGCGAAGGCGGGUCUCUGGGCCGAUACUGACGCUGAGGAGCGAAAGCGUGGGGAGCGAACAGG